This 279-nucleotide ribosomal RNA is filed under the name uncultured bacterium. RNAcentral's name for it is "partial 16S ribosomal RNA". It matches the Rfam family "Bacterial small subunit ribosomal RNA", at positions 506 to 784 of the family's 1533-position model. The record is from RNAcentral.
UGCCAGCCGCCGCGGUAAUACGGAGGGUGCAAGCGUUGUUCGGAAUUAUUGGGCGUAAAGCGCGUGUAGGCGGUUCGUUAAGUCUGGUGUGAAAGCCCGCAGCUCAACUGCGGAACUGCACUGGAAACUGGCAGACUAGAGCAUCGGAGAGGAGAGUGGAAUUCCUGGUGUAGCGGUGGAAUGCGUAGAUAUCAGGAGGAACACCGAAGGCGAAGGCAGCUCUCUGGACGAUUGCUGACCCUGAGGAACGAAAGCUAGGGGAGCGAACAGGAUUAGAUA